UACGAGGGAUGCAAGCGUUGCUCGGAAUCACUGGGCGUAAAGCGUCCGCAGGCGGCUUGGUAAGUCGGGUGUGAAAUCCCGGGGCUCAACCCCGGAACUGCAUUCGAAACUGCCUGGCUUGAGUACGGGAGAGGGUCGUGGAAUUCCUGGUGUAGAGGUGAAAUUCGUAGAUAUCAGGAGGAACACCGGUGGCGAAAGCGGCGACCUGGCCCGAUACUGACGCUCAUGGACGAAAGCGUGGGGAGCAAACAGG
Molecule: ribosomal RNA, 253 nt
Filed under: uncultured bacterium
Lineage: Bacteria
Description: partial 16S ribosomal RNA
Rfam family: Bacterial small subunit ribosomal RNA
Source: RNAcentral